CACGGGGGGAGCAAGCGUUGUUCGGAAUCACUGGGCGUAAAGGGCGCGUAGGCGGGAUGGCAAGUCGGUCGUGAAAUCCUUCGGCUCAACCGAAGAACGUCGGCCGAUACUGCCGUUCUUGAGGGAUGCAGAGGAGAUUGGAAUUCCCGGUGUAGCGGUGAAAUGUGUAGAGAUCGGGAGGAACACCGGUGGCGAAGGCGGGUCUCUGGGCAUCUCCUGACGCUGAGGCGCGAAAGCGUGGGGAGCAAACGGG
Molecule: ribosomal RNA, 253 nt
Filed under: uncultured bacterium
Lineage: Bacteria
Description: partial 16S ribosomal RNA
Rfam family: Bacterial small subunit ribosomal RNA
Source: RNAcentral